UACGAAGGGGGCUAGCGUUGCUCGGAAUCACUGGGCGUAAAGCGCACGUAGGCGGCUUUUUAAGUCAGGGGUGAAAUCCUGGAGCUCAACUCCAGAACUGCCUUUGAUACUGGCAAUCUCGAGUCCGGGAGAGGUGAGUGGAACUGCGAGUGUAGAGGUGAAAUUCGUAGAUAUUCGCAAGAACACCAGUGGCGAAGGCGGCUCACUGGCCCGGUACUGACGCUGAGGUGCGAAAGCGUGGGGAGCAAACGGG
RNAcentral lists this ribosomal RNA (253 nucleotides) under uncultured bacterium. RNAcentral's name for it is "partial 16S ribosomal RNA". It matches the Rfam family "Bacterial small subunit ribosomal RNA", at positions 524 to 776 of the family's 1533-position model. The record is from RNAcentral.